RNAcentral lists this ribosomal RNA (397 nucleotides) under uncultured bacterium. Its description in RNAcentral is "bacterial SSU rRNA". It matches the Rfam family "Bacterial small subunit ribosomal RNA", at positions 30 to 429 of the family's 1533-position model. The record is from RNAcentral.
AUUGAACGCUGGCGGCAUGCUCUACACAUGCAAGUCGAACGGUAACAGGUCUUCGGAUGCUGACGAGUGGCGAACGGGUGAGUAAUGCAUCGGAACGUGCCCAGUCGUGGGGGAUAACGCAGCGAAAGCUGUGCUAAUACCGCAUACGAUCUAUGGAUGAAAGCGGGGGAUCGCAAGACCUCGCGCGAUUGGAGCGGCCGAUGUCAGAUUAGCUAGUUGGUGGGGUAAAGGCCCACCAAGGCGACGAUCUGUAGCUGGUCUGAGAGGACGACCAGCCACACUGGGACUGAGACACGGCCCAGACUCCUACGGGAGGCAGCAGUGGGGAAUUUUGGACAAUGGACGCAAGCCUGAUCCAGCAAUGCCGCGUGCAGGAAGAAGGCCUUCGGGUUGUAAC